UACGUAGGGGGCAAGCGUUGUCCGGAUUUAUUGGGCGUAAAGAGCGUGUAGGCGGUCUGGUAGGUCCGUUGUGAAAACUCGAGGCUCAACCUCGAGACGCCGAUGGAAACCAUCAGACUAGAGUCCGGAAGAGGAGAGGUGGAAUUCCUGGUGUAGCGGUGAAAUGCGCAGAUAUCAGGAAGAACACCCGUGGCUAAGGCGGCUCUCUAGUACGGUACUGACGCUGAGACGCGAAAGCGUGGGGAGCGAACAGG
Molecule: ribosomal RNA, 254 nt
Filed under: uncultured bacterium
Lineage: Bacteria
Description: partial 16S ribosomal RNA
Rfam family: Bacterial small subunit ribosomal RNA
Source: RNAcentral